AAGAUUCUCUAAAGAUUCCUUUAGAAGGUUCUAGAAUAUUCUUAGAAUAUUCCCUAAAGAUUCUUUUAGAAGGUUCUAGAAUAUUCUGAUAGAUUCUAGGAAGUUGCUCGAGAAGUUUUCUAAUUAGUAGAAGUUGUUGGAGAAGCGUCCUAGUUAGCGGAAGUAGCUCGAGAAGCUUCCUAUUCAGUAGUAUAUAUAGGAGUCGAGGCUGAAGGGUUCUUCAGUCUCGACAACACAUCUCUUGGAGUUCUAGCUCACCUUUCUGGUGUUGUUCUUGUACUCAUCUGAUUAAUCCAGUUCUUCUUGAACUUCUUGUCUAGUUUUCUUGUCUGUAUUUUGUAUCCGUGACAGUUUGUCGAGACUGCAUUUUCACUGGUAUCAGAGCUAGUUCCUUCUUGUUAGAGAGUGGAUUACCCCUCUUCUUGAAGGUGUGCUAGUGUUUUAGAGGUUGCGGAUUACCCUCCUCUAAACUGAUAUCUCUUCUUUCUCAAUAUUGGAGCCUUAUUCUUCUUAGAGAGAGUGGAUUACCCCUCAUCUUGGAGUCUUAAGGCGUUUUAGAG
This 560-nucleotide long non-coding RNA is filed under the name Physcomitrium patens. RNAcentral's name for it is "long non-coding RNA (PPAT_LNC006639)". Lineage: Eukaryota; Viridiplantae; Streptophyta; Bryopsida; Funariales; Funariaceae. The record is from RNAcentral.